GACGUAGGAGGCGAGCGUUGUCCGGAUUCAUUGGGCGUAAAGAGCUCGCAGGCGGUUUGGCAAGUCUGCUGUGAAAACCCGAAGCUCAACUUCGGGCCUGCAUUCGAAACUGCCCGACUAGAGGUAGGUAGGGGAGAUCGGAAUUCCUGGUGUAGCAGUGAAAUGCGUAGAUAUCAGGAGGAACACCGAUGGCGAAGGCAGGUCUCUGGGCUGACACUGACGCUCAUGCACGAAAGCGUGGGGAGCAAACAGG
RNAcentral lists this ribosomal RNA (253 nucleotides) under uncultured bacterium. RNAcentral describes it as "partial 16S ribosomal RNA". It matches the Rfam family "Bacterial small subunit ribosomal RNA", at positions 524 to 776 of the family's 1533-position model. The record is from RNAcentral.